UACGGAGGGUGCAAGCGUUACUCGGAAUCACUGGGCGUAAAGAGUGCGUAGGCUGAAUGAUAAGUCAGAUGUGAAAGCCUAUGGCUUAACUAUAGAAUUGCAUUUGAAACUGUUAUUCUAGAGUGUGGGAGAGGUAGGUGGAAUUCUUGGUGUAGGGGUAAAAUCCGUAGAUAUCAAGAGGAAUACUUAUUGCGAAGGCGACUUACUAGAACAUUACUGACGCUGAUGCACGAAAGCGUGGGGAGCAAACAGG
Molecule: ribosomal RNA, 253 nt
Filed under: uncultured bacterium
Lineage: Bacteria
Description: partial 16S ribosomal RNA
Rfam family: Bacterial small subunit ribosomal RNA
Source: RNAcentral